This 456-nucleotide small RNA is filed under the name Pongo abelii (Sumatran orangutan). Its description in RNAcentral is "processed transcript". The record is from RNAcentral. Lineage: Eukaryota; Metazoa; Chordata; Mammalia; Primates; Hominidae.
GUGCUGAAAUCUGAACCCUCCAGUAACUUACCUAUUGGUUUCUGUUUCAUGUUCUGGAGCCACACAUAAUAAAUCUAAUCUCUAAAGCGCUGUACAAAUAUAAUUAAGUGGCUCUUUAUAUCUUUCAGGUCACCUUCUUGACUCCUUCGCCCGUUCAGCUUUAUGGGAUUCAGGCCUAGAUUACUUGCACGGGACUGGACAUGGUGUUGGGUCUUUUUUGAAUGUCCACGAGGGUCCUUGCGGCAUCAGUUACAAAACAUUCUCUGAUGAGCCCUUGGAGGCAGGCAUGAUUGUCACUGAUGAGCCCGGGUAUUAUGAAGAUGGGGCUUUUGGAAUUCGCAUUGAGAACGUUGUCCUUGUGGUUCCUGUGAAGACCAAGUAUAAUUUUAAUAACCGGGGAAGCCUGACCUUUGAACCUCUAACUUUGGUUCCAAUUCAGACCAAAAUGAUAGAUGU